This 309-nucleotide ribosomal RNA is filed under the name Triticum aestivum (bread wheat). RNAcentral describes it as "partial small subunit ribosomal RNA". Lineage: Eukaryota; Viridiplantae; Streptophyta; Magnoliopsida; Poales; Poaceae. The record is from RNAcentral.
AUGACGUGGGGCGGGGAGUCCGGAUUCUGGAAGGUGACGGAAGCUUCUGAAACUUGGUGGAACGCGCGGGAUGCGGCGACGCGGAAAGUUCCAGAGCUCCAUCACGGUCUUUCUUUAGGAGCAGAGACAUUUUCCUUUCACUUUUAUUUUUGGAAAGAUGAUCCGUUCUCCAGAAACUUCUCCAAUCCUCCCGUGCAUAUCUGCGAUCACUGCUGGUUUGUGUCGAAUUCAGGGACUAGGAGCAUCGCAACAUGGUCAGGAACAAACUCGGAUAAAUGUCAGUCACCUCAAAAUAACGAAGAUGUGUAG